RNAcentral lists this transfer RNA (64 nucleotides) under Pselaphinae sp. 11 EF-2015. RNAcentral describes it as "tRNA-Asp". Lineage: Eukaryota; Metazoa; Arthropoda; Insecta; Coleoptera; Staphylinidae. The record is from RNAcentral.
AAAAAUUUAGUUAAAUAAUAACAUUAGCCCGUCAAGCUAAAAUUACUUUAAAAGGUAAUUUUUG